UUCAAUUUUAUUUUAUUAAUUAUGUUCGUUAACAGUGGGUUUUAGCUGGCUGGGGAGAUUGAAAAGUUUGCAGGAACAUGGAACGCUGUGGGGUUUUGCAAGGGUUUAUGUGUUUGCACGAAUACUAAACUCUUACGACCAAGAAGUACUUGAAGAAGAGCUUGCCUUGGCAAAAUGUGCGCCUCGCCAACGCGUGGCCUGUAAUAGAGGGCCAAAAUGAUAUCAGUCUAUAACCAAGGUUAACAAUUCAUCCGCAGCUGUUCCGCGAUCCUGAUAACAUCAUGGAGCCCAAAGAACUUCCUGCUACCAGCUCGAAAGAAGCGAGAAGCAAAAAAUAAGUAGCACAGCAAUAUACGAAAUAGUUCAUUGAUGCAGAACAGCUUUUCACUCCUUCAGUGAACAAAAAUGUUGCAAUUCAGCUUCGAGAUUGCACUCCGAGGCGCAAGUCUCUCCUAAAACAGUCCUGUAUCAGAGGAAAGGAAAAAUCCUACAGCGUCCCAUGUUCUUGCAAAAUUUCCCCCCUCCCAACCAUCUGAAACCAACUUACAUUUUCCCCUCGAAUUGCUAUUUCCCAAAGUUGAGAGGAAAAUAAAGCUGUCAAGCUGAUUACCAUCAUCUUAGUUUUUCAUCAAUCUCAGUUCGACUUACAAGCCACCUUGUCUCCAUAAAUUUAAAUUCGCUGAGAACCACUAGUGCAGAAAGAACAGAAAGAAGCCAAACAAAAUCAUCGCAACAAAAUCACCUCCAGAAUCACCUCCUCACGACUUGUAUCUUUUCUCCCAACCCCCAAUUACUUCUCUAACUUGGCAGCACACUGCAGGGCAGAGAGUAACCCAAUUGAGCUGCUCUCGCACGCAGCCGAAUACAGAAGAAUCAGCCGACGUUUCACCACCAAGGGCGAAUUGGAAGAAGGCAGAGAGAGGAUACAACUACGAACUGAAACUGUGCUGAGCGAUGACGUUGGCUGGCCGACACCACCACGCCUGCCCGAACGGCAAUGGGUCCCAUAGCUGGCCCACGGGGGGCUCGCCU
This 1032-nucleotide long non-coding RNA is filed under the name Physcomitrium patens. Its description in RNAcentral is "long non-coding RNA (PPAT_LNC000659)". The record is from RNAcentral. Lineage: Eukaryota; Viridiplantae; Streptophyta; Bryopsida; Funariales; Funariaceae.